CGCACAUUGCGGUCCAUGCAAAGGUUUUUUUUAAAAACUGCAUGGACCACGUAUGGUUGAGUGUCGUA
RNAcentral lists this ribosomal RNA (68 nucleotides) under Sergentomyia clydei. Its description in RNAcentral is "partial 5.8S ribosomal RNA". The record is from RNAcentral. Lineage: Eukaryota; Metazoa; Arthropoda; Insecta; Diptera; Psychodidae.